RNAcentral lists this transfer RNA (73 nucleotides) under Leifsonia sp. Leaf264. RNAcentral describes it as "tRNA-Gln". It matches the Rfam family "tRNA". Rfam says of the family: Transfer RNA (tRNA) molecules are approximately 80 nucleotides in length. Lineage: Bacteria; Bacillati; Actinomycetota; Actinomycetes; Micrococcales; Microbacteriaceae. The record is from RNAcentral.
UCCCCGAUAGCGCAACUGGUAGAGCGCCCGCCUCUGGAGCGGGAGGUUGUUGGUUCGAAUCCAGCUCGGGGAG